UGCUGUGUGUUGUGCUGUGUGUGUUGUGUGUGCUGUGUGUUGUGCUGUGUGCUUUGUGUGUUGUGCUGUGUGUGUGCUGUGCUGUGUGUGUGCGAGACAGCGGAUUGGCCUUGCUCGUUCCAAGCCUCUGUCCCACGUUCACACGGAGGGAGACGUCAGAUUUGUGACUGUCCGUGGACGGUCACGGACGGCAGAGGACUGCGCCCCCCACUGGUAAACUCGCAGAGCACCCCACGGACACCAAAACAACCUAUGGCGCAGACGGACAGGAUGACGGAAUAGACGUUCACUCAGCCUCGCCACAAUGGAGUGGAUGGUAAACAGAUGGUGAAGGAGGAAGACAGCGGAAAAAGAUGGCGAGACGAUGUCAAGAAAUCGGAGGCCUCUACUGGGCAAGGAUAAUGAAGGAAAGCACAGAAGGGAAGACAGUGGGGGAGAGGUCUCUGCCCAGGAUUGAAAAGUUACACAGACUGACAAAGAACAAACAAAGCUACCUUAAAUGUCACUUUGCUUGUGCCUCUCUAUUUUUUCCAAAGGUGCACUCAUAUUUCAGUAAACGAUGAACAUGGGACAAUUUGUUAUCUGUAUAAUAAAAGCUUCCUCGGAGGGGUUCCACAA
Molecule: long non-coding RNA, 618 nt
Organism: Petromyzon marinus (sea lamprey)
Lineage: Eukaryota; Metazoa; Chordata; Hyperoartia; Petromyzontiformes; Petromyzontidae
Source: RefSeq, a predicted model, not a curated record